AUGCUUGUUUUGGCACCACAUAUACUACAACUGGAACAAUACAGAAAAGAUUAGCACAGCCCCUGCCUGAGGAUGACAUGCAAAUUCAUGAAGGGUCCCAUAUAUAU
This is a small nuclear RNA of Cebus imitator (Panamanian white-faced capuchin), 107 nucleotides long. NCBI's taxonomy places the organism in Eukaryota, Metazoa, Chordata, Mammalia, Primates, Cebidae. The record is from Ensembl.